This 1242-nucleotide ribosomal RNA is filed under the name human gut metagenome. Its description in RNAcentral is "bacterial LSU rRNA". It matches the Rfam family "Bacterial large subunit ribosomal RNA", at positions 1127 to 2398 of the family's 2925-position model. The record is from RNAcentral.
AGAGUGCGUAAUAGCUCACUAGUCGAGAGGUCCUGCGCCGAAAAUGUCCGGGGCUGAAACACGACACCGAAGCACAGGAUACCGCAAGGUAUGGUAGAGGAGCAUUGCUGGCGCGAUGAAGCAGUACCGGAAGGAGCUGUGGAGUGCCAGGAAGAGAGAAUGCCGGAAUGAGUAGCGAGAGAGAGGUGGGAAUCCUCUCGGCCGAAUAUCCAAGGUUUCCAGGGUAAAGCUGAUCUGCCCUGGGUAAGUCGGGGCCUAAGGAGAGGCAGAAAUGCGUAUCCGAUGGACAGCAGGUUGAGAUUCCUGCACUAUCUUAAAACAGAACUGUGGGGACAUUUGUGGAGAGCACAGGCGCGGAACGGAAAGCCGCGUGCAAGCGAAGGAGGAGUCACAUAGGAAAAACCGUGUGGCAAUCCAGAGGCGUGAUGCGGACCGAACUAAAGUAGGGAAGUGUGUGAGCCAUGAAUCAAGAAAAGCCGCUAUUGUUUUUAAGAUACCCGUACCGUAAACCGACACAGGUGGAUGAGGAGAGAAUCCUAAGGCCGGCGGAAGAAGCAUUGUUAAGGAACUCGGCAAAAUGACCCCGUAACUUCGGGAGAAGGGGUGCCUGCGAGAGCAGGCCGCAGAGAAUAGGCUCAAGCAACUGUUUAGCAAAAACACAGGUCUAUGCAAAACCGUAAGGUGAGGUAUAUGGGCUGACGCCUGCCCGGUGCUGGAAGGUUAAGAGGAGAGGUUAGCGCAAGCGAAGCUUUGAAUUUAAGCCCCAGUAAACGGCGGCCGUAACUAUAACGGUCCUAAGGUAGCGAAAUUCCUUGUCGGGUAAGUUCCGACCCGCACGAAAGGCGUAAUGAUUUGAGCGCUGUCUCGACAAUGCAUCCGGUGAAAUUGAAGUACCAGUGAAGAUGCUGGUUACCCGCGCCAGGACGGAAAGACCCCAUGGAGCUUUACUCCAGUUUGAUACUGGGAUUCGGUACUGCACGUACAGGAUAGGUGGGAGACUGAGAACUAUGGACGCCAGUCUGUAGGGAGUCGCUGUUGGGAUACCACCCCUGUAGUACUGGGUUUCUAACCAUCUGCCGUGAUCCGGCAGUGGGACAAUGUCAGGCGGGGAGUUUGACUGGGGCGGUCGCCUCCGAAAGGGUAUCGGAGGCGCUCAAAGGUUCCCUCAGAAUGGUCGGAAACCAUUUGAAGAGUGCAAAGGCAGAAGGGAGCUUGACUGCGACACCGACGGGUGGAGCAGGU